Molecule: ribosomal RNA, 129 nt
Filed under: uncultured Raoultella sp.
Lineage: Bacteria; Pseudomonadati; Pseudomonadota; Gammaproteobacteria; Enterobacterales; Enterobacteriaceae
Description: partial 16S ribosomal RNA
Rfam family: Bacterial small subunit ribosomal RNA
Source: RNAcentral
UUGCACAUGGGCGCAGUCCUGAUGCAGCCAUGCCGCGUGAAUGAAGAAGGCCUUCGGGUUGUAAAGUACUUUCGGCGAGGAGGAAGGCAUUAGGGUUAAUAACCUUAGUGAUUGACGUUACUCGCAGAA